CUGCGGCAGCGACACUGUGUGUUGUUGGGUAGGGGAGCGUUCUGUAAGCCUGUGAAGGUGUGUCGUGAGGCAUGCUGGAGGUAUCAGAAGUGCGAAUGCUGACAUAAGUAACGAUAAAGCGGGUGAAAAGCCCGCUCGCCGGAAGACCAAGGGUUCCUGUCCAACGUUAAUCGGGGCAGGGUGAGUCGACCCCUAAGGCGAGGCCGAAAGGCGUAGUCGAUGGGAAACGGGUUAAUAUUCCCGUACUUGGUGUUACUGCGAAGGGGGGACGGAGAAGGCUAUGUUGGCCGGGCGACGGUUGUCCCGGUUUAAGCGUGUAGGUGUGUGUUCCAGGUAAAUCCGGUUCACUUUAACACUGAGGCGUGACGACGAGGCACUACGGUGCUGAAGCAACAAAUGCCCUGCUUCCAGGAAAAGCCUCUAAGCAUCAGGUAACAUCAAAUCGUACCCCAAACCGACACAGGUGGUCAGGUAGAGAAUACCAAGGCGCUUGAGAGAACUCGGGUGAAGGAACUAGGCAAAAUGGUGCCGUAACUUCGGGAGAAGGCACGCUGACACGUAGGUGAAGUGAUUUACUCAUGGAGCUGAAGUCAGUCGAAGAUACCAGCUGGCUGCAACUGUUUAUUAAAAACACAGCACUGUGCAAACACGAAAGUGGACGUAUACGGUGUGACGCCUGCCCGGUGCCGGAAGGUUAAUUGAUGGGGUCAGCGCAAGCGAAGCUCCUGAUCGAAGCCCCGGUAAACGGCGGCCGUAACUAUAACGGUCCUAAGGUAGCGAAAUUCCUUGUCGGGUAAGUUCCGACCUGCACGAAUGGCGUAAUGAUGGCCAGGCUGUCUCCACCCGAGACUCAGUGAAAUUGAACUCGCUGUGAAGAUGCAGUGUACCCGCGGCAAGACGGAAAGACCCCGUGAACCUUUACUAUAGCUUGACACUGAACAUUGAGCCUUGAUGUGUAGGAUAGGUGGGAGGCUUUGAAGUGUGGACGCCAGUCUGCAUGGAGCCGACCUUGAAAUACCACCCUUUAAUGUUUGAUGUUCUAACGUGGACCCGUUACCCGGGUUGCGGACAGUGUCUGGUGGGUAGUUUGACUGGGGCGGUCUCCUCCUAAAGAGUAACGGAGGAGCACGA
RNAcentral lists this ribosomal RNA (1131 nucleotides) under Salmonella enterica. RNAcentral describes it as "partial 23S ribosomal RNA". It matches the Rfam family "Bacterial large subunit ribosomal RNA", at positions 1200 to 2313 of the family's 2925-position model. The record is from RNAcentral. RNAcentral also lists the same sequence under 1 other name. Lineage: Bacteria; Pseudomonadati; Pseudomonadota; Gammaproteobacteria; Enterobacterales; Enterobacteriaceae.